This 424-nucleotide ribosomal RNA is filed under the name uncultured bacterium. Its description in RNAcentral is "partial 16S ribosomal RNA". It matches the Rfam family "Bacterial small subunit ribosomal RNA", at positions 360 to 776 of the family's 1533-position model. The record is from RNAcentral.
AAUUUUGGACAAUGGGGGAAACCCUGAUCCAGCCAUCCCGCGUGUAUGAUGAAGGCCUUCGGGUUGUAAAGUACUUUUGGCAGAGAAGAAAAGGUAUCCCCUAAUACGGGGUACUGCUGACGGUAUCUGCCGAAUAAGCACCGGCUAACUACGUGCCAGCAGCCGCGGUAAUGCGUAGGGUGCAAGCGUUAAUCGGAAUUACUGGGCGUAAAGGCUGUGUAAGGCGGUCGGAAAGAAAGGUGUGAAAUCCCAGGGCUCAACCUUGGAACUGCAUUUUUAAAUUGCGAGGUAGAGUAUGUUAGAGGGGGGUAGAAUUCCACGGGUAGCAGUGAAAUGCGUAGAUAUGUGGAGGAAUACCGAUGGCGAAGGCAGCCCCCCGGGAUAAUACUGACGCUCAGACACGAAAGCGUGGGGAGCAAACAGG